AAAGUCGUAACAAGGUAACCGUAGGUGAACCUGCGGUUGGAUCAUUAACAAAAUCCAAAACACGGCGCCCACGGUCGUGCGUGGGGUGUAAACCUCAUUGCGGCCUGUGGGUGCUGGGACCCACCUUAUGUGAAUUGUAUAAGCGUUUUUGGCGACUUACGAGAUUGAAUGGUUUAAACAAGCCAGCAACUCUCUCAGGGUCCUCAUACCUCUGCAUGAGGUAGGAGCCCUGGGUCGCCGCGUGGAGCCCCCUUCCGCAUUGGAGGGUGCGCUCGACAAAAACCAUUUAAACUCAACCUUUUGUCUGAUUUUUACAGUAAUUCUUAAUUUUUUUGAGAAUUAUAAUAACCAAAAUAACUUUUGACAACGGAUCUCUUGGCUCUC
This 384-nucleotide unclassified non-coding RNA is filed under the name Chytridiomycota sp. Its description in RNAcentral is "partial contains small subunit ribosomal RNA, internal transcribed spacer 1, and 5.8S ribosomal RNA". The stretch from base 1 to 47 matches the Rfam family "Eukaryotic small subunit ribosomal RNA", at positions 1785 to 1831 of the family's 1831-position model. Lineage: Eukaryota; Fungi; Chytridiomycota. The record is from RNAcentral.